CGUCGGGGCUUUGUCUUGACUGGGCGCGUGGGGCUCUUUAGACUCAUGCACCCUUAAAUUUGGCAGGGCAAUCGGCUCUGCCAUCUUUAUUUGUGUUGUAAAUAGCGUCGAAAGACAACAGUGGAGCUAGUAGA
Molecule: small RNA, 134 nt
Filed under: Pseudomonas sp. 8Z
Lineage: Bacteria; Pseudomonadati; Pseudomonadota; Gammaproteobacteria; Pseudomonadales; Pseudomonadaceae
Description: rpsL_psuedo
Rfam family: Pseudomonas rpsL leader
Source: RNAcentral